AGUGAACGCUGGCGGUAGGCCUAACACAUGCAAGUCGAACGGCAGCACAGUAAGAGCUUGCUCUUACGGGUGGCGAGUGGCGGACGGGUGAGGAAUACAUCGGAAUCUACUUUUUCGUGGGGGAUAACGUAGGGAAACUUACGCUAAUACCGCAUACGACCUACGGGUGAAAGCAGGGGAUCUUCGGACCUUGCGCGAUUGAAUGAGCCGAUGUCGGAUUAGCUAGUUUGCGGGGUAAAGGCCCACCAAGGCGACGAUCCGUAGCUGGUCUGAGAGGAUGAUCAGCCACACUGGAACUGAGACACGGUCCAGACUCCUACGGGAGGCAGCAGUGGGGAAUAUUGGACAAUGGGCGCAAGCCUGAUCCAGCCAUACCGCGUGGGUGAAGAAGGCCUUCGGGUUGUAAAGCCCUUUUGUUGGGAAAGAAAAGCAGCAGGUUAAUACCCCGCUGUUCUGACGGUACCCAAAGAAUAAGCGCCGGCUAACUUCGUG
RNAcentral lists this ribosomal RNA (492 nucleotides) under uncultured bacterium. RNAcentral's name for it is "partial 16S ribosomal RNA". It matches the Rfam family "Bacterial small subunit ribosomal RNA", at positions 29 to 507 of the family's 1533-position model. The record is from RNAcentral.